This 301-nucleotide ribosomal RNA is filed under the name uncultured bacterium. RNAcentral's name for it is "partial 16S ribosomal RNA". It matches the Rfam family "Bacterial small subunit ribosomal RNA", at positions 509 to 807 of the family's 1533-position model. The record is from RNAcentral.
CAGCCGCCACGGUAAAACGAAGGGUGCAAGCGUUACUCGGAAUUACUGGGCGUAGAGCGUGCGUAGGUGGUGGUUUAAGUCCGUUGUGAAAGCCCUGGGCUCAACCUGGGAAUUGCAGUGGAUACUGGGUCACUAGAGUGUGGUAGAGGAUAGUGGAAUUUCCGGUGUAGCAGUGAAAUGCGUAGAGAUCGGAAGGAACAUCUGUGGCGAAGGCGACUAUCUGGGCCAACACUGACACUGAGGCACGAAAGCGUGGGGAGCAAACAGGAUUAGAUACCCCUGUAGUCCCUGUCUCUUAUAC